GUAGGGAAUCUUCGGCAAUGGGGGCAACCCUGACCGAGCAACGCCGCGUGAGUGAAGAAGGUCUUCGGAUCGUAAAACUCUGUUGUUAGAGAAGAACAUGCAGGAGAGUAACUGUUCUUGUAUUGACGGUAUCUAACCAGAAAGCCACGGCUAACUACGCGCCAG
Molecule: ribosomal RNA, 165 nt
Filed under: uncultured bacterium
Lineage: Bacteria
Description: partial 16S rRNA
Rfam family: Bacterial small subunit ribosomal RNA
Source: RNAcentral